Stegodyphus mimosarum is the source of this 73-nucleotide non-coding RNA. NCBI's taxonomy places the organism in Eukaryota, Metazoa, Arthropoda, Arachnida, Araneae, Eresidae. The record is from Rfam.
GCCUUCGUGGUGUAAUGGUCAGCACACUGAGCCGGUAUUUCAGAGGUCCGUGGUUCGAACCCCGGCGAAGGCA